GGCCACCAGGAACACACCUGUAGCCCAGCAAAGUUGAGGCCAUCGACUGGCUCAUCACAACAAGGAAGGCUGUGCACCACUGGGAGCCAGCAGCAGCUCAGCAGCAGCAGUGAGAAGGCCUUGGGAAAGACUUGGAGGGUUUGGCUUAUGUGAGGUGAUCUUGGGGAGAGUCAAGGAAACAGGUUGUGAUGGAUACUAUUGAGUGUCAACUUGGUUGGAUUGAAGGAUGCAAAGGAUUAUUCCUCGGUGUGCCUGUAAGAGUGUUGCCAAAGGAGAUUAACAUUUGAGUCAGUGGACUGGCAGAGGCAGACCCACCCUCAAGCUGGGUGGGCACCAUCUAAUCAGCUGCCACAGCAGCUAAAAUAAAGCAGGCAGAAGAAGUUGGAAUGAGCAGACUUGCUGAGGCUUCCAUCCUUCAUCUUUCUCCCAUGCUGAAUGCUUCCUGCCCUUGAACAUCAGACUCCAGGUUCCUCAGCUUUUGAACUCUUGGACUUACACCAGUGGUUUGCCAGGGGCUCCCAGGCCUUUAGCCACAGACUGAAGGCUGCGCUGUCAGCCUCUCUACCUUUGAAGUUUGGGACUCAGACUGGCUUCUUGGCUCCUCAGCUUGCAGUCGGCCUAUUGUGAGACUUCCCUUUGUGAUCAUACCAGAUUACAGAGGGAUAUUGAUUUGCCUUGCCCCCCGCCCCCACCAUCACAGGGUGUCCCUGUCUGGGGUUGGUGCUCUGUGGCAUUGCUUGUGUCCCUAGGAGUCCAUCAAGGCAGAGCUGCAAGUACCAGAUCAGCUUCCAGGUCUUCCAGGCUGCAUGUCCCCCUCAAUGUCCUUUCGGCCCAAUGGAAAUGGAUUGAGAGAGUGAAAGUCACUGGUCUCAAAGAAUCUACAGAAUUCAGCAUUUUGAAAAUCACAUAGCAAUUUGGGGUAGGCAUUCACAUGCACUAAUAAACCAGGCAAACAUUCGACUCCCAGGACAAAGUGAUGGAGAGCAUUAGAAGGCUUGUUGAGCCUUAAGGAAUAAGGGGGAAAUCAUGCUAUGAAGUGCAGGACCAGCACAGACCCAGAGGAGGAGAUUCAGCCUGGAGCCAGCAACCCGGCGCCUCCUUCUCCCCAGGACGCAGCGCUGACUGAGCCCCCGAUGUCCGUGGUCACACGUCCCAGGUCCUGAGAGCACUUCAAAGGUGGACAGUUCUUUGGGAAUUUUAGGACGCAGCACUUGAAGAGAGGUUUACCUAAACUUUCCUCCUGGGAGCCUGUGAUCAUUUGAAAGUAACAGUAGAAAGUUGUCAGGCUGAGCAAACAGUUUCAACAGGCACGUGGUGAGAAUGGGAAGCAUCCCUCCAUUGCGAAAUCGCGGGGACAGAGGAGGAAUUCACGAGAUCAGAGAACUGAGAAACUCCAGAGGCUUCUGGUUCACCGCCGUGAUUCCACAGAUGAGAAUCAGAGGCAGAGGUGGAAGCUGGAAUGGACAAGCCUGCCCACUCCUUGGCUCUCCAUGGCUCUGUGCUCAGUCUGUUUCUGCAAUUUGACAUGAGGCCUGGCCCUCGGGAAAGCAGCGGGGCCUCAUCUCCUCCCUGUGCUGCUCUGAGGUGGAGCCUUCUCAGGGUCAGCCCAGCUCUGGAGCGCCUCUCCAGCUGGGUCACCAAAGCUGUCUGGUCCCAGGGGGGUGCUGAGUGACAGGCACGCCAGCCAAUCCAAUCGGCCAUUUCAUACCUAAUGCAUGUGACUGAUAAAGAUUUAACGCCCUGUCUCCAAGACACAGGCUUUACACAAACAGCUUUAACGACCUCUUCACUUAGAGACCAGACUCCUUAGUGGUGGAACCUCAGGCAUCCGUGCAGGAUGUAAGAAAGCUCCUGUAUAUACGUGAACGGAGAAGUGUGUAGAAGAAUAAAUACUGUAAUAGAUAAUAAAAUGUAUGUGUUUUUAUUUAUAUGCUACUUUAUCUUUCUCCCUCUCUCUGUAUAUAUACAUACAUAUAAAAAUGUAUUCAUUCUAUGGAAAACAUGAAAGAUGUAAUAUUCUUUACAUCUGAAAUUUUAAUUAAUGUAUUUUUUCUGAUCAUAUGAACACCACAAAUACAAUUUUAUAAUGUUUUUACUUAAUAAGUCUUAAACAUAAAUAUAUACGGACAAUAUUGUAGUUUUUUUAAAAAAAUCGUAUCAUAAUUAAAGUGGUUGUGAAACA
This is a long non-coding RNA of Rhinopithecus roxellana (golden snub-nosed monkey), 2182 nucleotides long. RefSeq lists it as uncharacterized. The record is from RefSeq and is a predicted model, not a curated record. Lineage: Eukaryota; Metazoa; Chordata; Mammalia; Primates; Cercopithecidae. The transcript is spliced from 3 exons.